Small nuclear RNA from Cynocephalus volans (Philippine flying lemur), 103 nucleotides. The record is from RefSeq and is a predicted model, not a curated record. NCBI's taxonomy places the organism in Eukaryota, Metazoa, Chordata, Mammalia, Dermoptera, Cynocephalidae.
UUCAGCAACAUUUAUACUAAAAAAAACUGGAGCAAUACAGAAAAGAUUAGCAUGGGCCCUAUACAAGGAGGACAUGCAAAUUUGUAAAGCAUUCCAUAUAAAA